This is a long non-coding RNA of Orbicella faveolata, 1481 nucleotides long. The record is from RefSeq and is a predicted model, not a curated record. Lineage: Eukaryota; Metazoa; Cnidaria; Anthozoa; Scleractinia; Merulinidae.
GCUGUGAUCUGGGGCACGUAAAUCAAUGAAACAGUCGGCUUUAACAUGUGGAAACCACCUUUCAGUAAGAGUUAUGUCCGCAUUAAAGUAAUCGGCAUCUAAUUUCGUGUAAUCAGGUGAGAAGCUAAUCUGGUACAUUACUGUGUGACUGGGAGAAAUUCUGGUGAUUGACGUGGACAGACAGUCGUUGGAGAAAUGAUGUUCCACAAACUACAGGGAAAUAUCAAGCAUGAGCCAAUGGGAAACUGAACAAGUGUCUGGUGCAGGAGAGACGGACAACAUUCUGGAUUCCAUUUUCGAUGAGGAAAAUAUCAAGCCUGGAAUGGAGAAAGCUUCUGGUGUACGAGACAAGAACUUGUGAAUGACAUCAGCGAGGAGAAUAUCUGGAAUUGAAAAAGCUGGAAAGUUAGAAGCGUUUCUGGUGUAGGAGAGAAGGACAACUUUUUUAAUAACACACACAGCCAGGAGAAUAUCAAGCAUGGAAUGGAAAACUGAGCUGCAAAUCAAGAAACCUCUUCUGGCGUGGGAGACAAGAACAACUUCUGAGUGACUUUACCAAUGAGGCUGCCAUCCCCAGUGUACAUCACCAGGACAUCAACACUAAUAAGGAGAAAGAAGCAAAUGAAACCAAACUAAUUCAUUUAGAUGUUUCUUCAGUGGAUUAUGCUUCAAGAUUGAGGUAGAUUUAGAUUUAUCACGAUUAGUUUUCUUGCUUCGAGAUUGUAUUUCACAAGACUCAAGAAUCCAAAGGAAUUAUCGGAGCUUUUGCAAAUUGUCUAAUGACUAUUUCACGGGUUUAGUAAAACCAUGUUAGUUGUCGAGCAAGCAGUGGAUUGAAUUGCACGUUUGUCGCUUUAAAUGUAAGGUAGCAGAUAAGCUUCAUCUCGAUUAUUUUUUUGCGAUAAGAUAUUUCAAGCCUGGAAGUCUUCUUAGCUUUUUCACAAAACUCGUGAAACAAAAUUCGACCAUCAGAAUUUAGUUGUCAAACAACACAUGGAAUGUACUGUUCAAUUGUCUAGAAUUUAUUUCACAAAUUUUAGUAAAAUCUGUCCAGUUUACGAGGUAGAUAGGAUUGAUGGAAAGGUUGCGCUUUUAAAAGGGCCAAUAAAAUUAUCGAAAAAAUAUUUAAGUCUUUUGGCAGUAAAAUUGUUCUUGGAAAAAAAGUCUGCAAUUUUAAAUGGUGUCUGGUUUUGAGUCAAAUUUAUACUAAGUCUUUUGGUGGAUAAAAGUAUUGCACUAUAUAGCAGGAUUUUUCCCAUCAAAAGUCAAAGUGUAUAUUUGAUUUCUGGCUAGACUCUGUUCAAAAGCGCAGAAUUUUUUUUCUUUUUGGCAACCCUACAUAGUCAAAAAAUAGUAAAAGAGAUAGCCUACAUUCCGACUUGUUUCCAGGCCCUUUUAUAUGCUCAAUUUUUUUUUUAUUUUGUUUACUUAUUCAAAUUGUUUGUAAUUAAUUUUAAUUAUAUUGUUGAAAAGCCAAUAAA